CAUGCAAGUCGAACGGGAACCUUGUCUUCGGACGAGGGGAUAGUGGCGAACGGGUGAGUAACACGUAGGUGAUCUGUCCUUGGAGUGGGGGAUAGCCCAUGGAAACAUGGGGUAAUACCGCAUGAGGUCUUGGAACUAUGGUUCUUAGAUGAAAGGAGCAAAUGUUCCGCUUUGGGAUGAGCCUGCGGUCCAUUAGCUAGUUGGUAGGGUAAAGGCCUACCAAGGCUACGAUGGAUAGCCGGCCUGAGAGGGUGAACGGUCACACUGGGACUGAGACACGGCCCAGACUCCUACGGGAGGCAGCAGCUAAGAAUCUUCCGCAAUGGGGGAAACCCUGACGGAGCGACGCCGCGUGGACGAUGAAGGCCUAGAGGUUGUAAAGUCCUUUUGCAGACGAAGAAUAAGGCAAGGAGUGGAACGCCUUGCUGAUGACGUUAGUCUUGCGAAUAAGCCCCGGCCAAUUACGUGCCAGCAGCCGCGGUAACACGUAUGGGGCGAGCGUUGCUCGGAAUUAUUGGGCGUAAAGGGCGCGUAGGCGGUGCUAUAAGCUUGGUGUGAAAUCCCCCGGCCUAACUGGGGAAUAGCGCUGAGAACUGUAGUGCUUGAGUUCUGGAGAGGAAGCUGGAAUUCCUGGUGUAGGGGUGAAAUCUGUAGAUAUCAGGAAGAACACCGGUGGCGAAGGCGGGCUUCUGGCCAGAAACUGACGCUGAGGCGCGAAAGCGUGGGGAGCGAACAGGAUUAGAUACCCUGGUAGUCCACGCUGUAAACGAUGUGCACUGGGUGUCGGGGCUUUAAUGGGUCUCGGUGCCGUAGUUAACGCGAUAAGUGCACCGCCUGGGGAGUAUGCUCGCAAGGGUGAAACUCAAAGGAAUUGACGGGGGCCCGCACAAGCGGUGGAGCAUGUGGUUUAAUUCGAUAUACGCGAGGAACCUUACCAGGGCUUGACAUGUACCUGACGGUCUGUGAGAGCAGGCUUUCUCUUCUGGGACGGGUACACAGGUGCUGCAUGGUUGUCGUCAGCUCGUGUCGUGAGAUGUUGGGUUAAGUCCCGCAACGAGCGCAACCCCUACUGUCUGUUGCCAGCAUUAAGUUGGGGACUCGGACGGAACUGCCGGUGACAAACCGGAGGAAGGUGGGGGUGACGUCAAAUCAUCAUGGCCCUUAUGUCCUGGGCUACACACGUGCUACAAUGGCAGGUACAGCGCGCAGGAGCGAAACGGUGACGUGGAGCCAAUCGCUAAAAGCCUGCCUCAGUUCGGAUUGGAGUCUGAAACUCGACUCCAUGAAGGUGGAAUCGCUAGUAAUCGCGCAUCAGCAUGGCGCGGUGAAUACGUUCCCGGGCCUUGUACACACCGCCCGUCACACCACCCGAGUUGGGGGUACCCGAAGUCGCUUGUCUAACCCAUUUAUGGGACGACGGCGCCGAAGGUAUGCCUGGUAAGGGGGGUGAAGUCGAAACAAGGUA
This 1465-nucleotide ribosomal RNA is filed under the name metagenome. RNAcentral describes it as "bacterial SSU rRNA". It matches the Rfam family "Bacterial small subunit ribosomal RNA". The record is from RNAcentral.